Molecule: ribosomal RNA, 196 nt
Filed under: uncultured Gammaproteobacteria bacterium
Lineage: Bacteria; Pseudomonadati; Pseudomonadota; Gammaproteobacteria
Description: partial 16S ribosomal RNA
Rfam family: Bacterial small subunit ribosomal RNA
Source: RNAcentral
UCCUACGGGAGGCAGCAGUAGGGAAUAUUGGACAAUGGGCGAAAGCCUGAUCCAGCCAUGCCGCGUGUGUGAAGAAGGUCUUCGGAUUGUAAAGCACUUUAAGUUGGGAGGAAGGGUUGUAGAUUAAUACUCUGCAAUUUUGACGUUACCGACAGAAUAAGCACCGGCUAACUCUGUGCCAGCAGCCGCGGUAAUA